Molecule: ribosomal RNA, 395 nt
Filed under: uncultured bacterium
Lineage: Bacteria
Description: bacterial SSU rRNA
Rfam family: Bacterial small subunit ribosomal RNA
Source: RNAcentral
GUGCCAGCAGCCGCGGUAAUACAGAGGGGGCAAGCGUUGUUCGGAAUUACUGGGCGUAAAGGGCGUGUAGGCGGCCUUCUAAGUCGGACGUGAAAUCCCUCGGCUUAACCGGGGAACUGCGUCCGAUACUGGAGGGCUUGAAUCCGGGAGAGGGAUGCGGAAUUCCAGGUGUAGCGGUGAAAUGCGUAGAUAUCUGGAGGAACACCGGUGGCGAAGGCGGCAUCCUGGACCGGCAUUGACGCUGAAACGCGAAAGCCAGGGGAGCAAACGGGAUUAGAUACCCCGGUAGUCCUGGCCCUAAACGAUGAAUGCUUGGUGUGGCGGGUAUCGAUCCCUGCCGUGCCGGAGCUAACGCGUUAAGCAUUCCGCCUGGGGAGUACGGUCGCAAGGCUGAA